RNAcentral lists this long non-coding RNA (1395 nucleotides) under Gallus gallus (chicken). Its description in RNAcentral is "lncRNA (ENSGALG00010025566.1)". The record is from RNAcentral. Lineage: Eukaryota; Metazoa; Chordata; Aves; Galliformes; Phasianidae.
UUUUUUAAGGCAAAUUACAAAGGUAAAAGAGAAGAAGAAAAACCAGAACCGGAUAAGAAAGUCCCUAAGCAACAGCAGUGAGUCCUAGCAGCACUGGUUACCGUAUCUGUGCAAGUGAAAGAGAUACUGUAAAACGCUCUGCCUCUCCCCAGCCUCCAGGAAAGCUUGUGCUCUAUGCAGAGCAGCCAUCUCAGCCAGCACCCAUACACAUUUGUGCCCUUGGAGCCAAAGUCUCUCCAUCACUUCAGCCACAUGAACCUGCACACGGACCAGUUUCCAGUGUAUAUGUAAAACUGCUGACAUGCCUUGUCACAGUGUCCUACACCCUUAGCAGGGAGGCUGUCACAUUUUGGAAGGAUUUCCAGUUUCCAGUUCCAUUUGGCACAAUUCAACCAUCUCCUGACCAUUUGCUCUUUUACUGCCUUAAGCUGGGGAAGCAAAAUCAGACGGAAGGAUAUAAUUUUACAUGGAAGCAAAAUGUUACUACUUGUACUGGGGAACAGAAAGUUAAAGUACGUUUGCAAAGCGGCCUAAAUUCUACCGAGGAGGAGUAGUUAAGUAAAGCUGCUGCCCUGCUCCAGACCAACAGCAGUUUCUGCACAUGAGCAACCUGCUUUCACUGAAAGGCUUCAUCUCCAAGAGUGCAGUUUUGCAUUGGCUUUGGGCCAUCCCACAAGCUUCCCAGAGUUUCUCUCUUACAGAGGGUACACACACAGCCUGAACUGCCUCUGCUAGGAAUGAUCCAGUCAGAUGGAGAAAGCUGUGGAGAGCAGUCACAGUUUGGGAUGCAUCUCUCCUGCUCCAUGGAUGCACACUACAACUUCCCAGCAAAUCCACAAGUGACAACAAACUUGGAGAACUGGCAUGGACCAAAAAAAGGCCCCGUGUUUAAUUAACCAAGCAAAAUGGAGUAUGCUAUAGGACAUGUUUCCCUCAAAUCCACUACUGUUACAGUUUCUAAUGAGGUUCCCUCAAGGGAAAGAAGUGCUCUGUUUUAUAAAGAAAAUUGUCAGUUCUGCAUCUAUCAACUAGGAAGGCUUUUAAUGAGGAGAGCUACUGAUCCAGAAUGACUCGCUACUGAAAGGUAUGAUGUAUACGUAAGAAAACCUUCCUACAGGACUUAAGGUUGAUAUCACACGCUGUGGUUAAAAUUGGAUUUUUUACAUCUUUUGUCUGGGGUGGGGGAGCCAACCAUUUCCUGAGAUGCCCAAUAUCUGGAUUUUUGUUAAGAAUUGUAACUCACAUCAAGAGAUUAUUUGUAUAUAUUUUGGGAACACCUCUCUGGCUAUUUCCUGACAGUGAUGACAUCACUUUGGGUAUAACCUCCAUUCAUUAGUGAGAAGCUCCCUACCCUUAGGUGGCCUUCAGCCAGUUGGACCAGCUGCACUAGGCAAC